CCCCCGAUAGCUCAGUUGGAAGAGCGCGAGACUGUAAAGGGUAAUGGUUCAUCUUGAGGUCGCUGGUUCGAUCCCGGCUCGGGGGA
Molecule: transfer RNA, 86 nt
Filed under: Puccinia sorghi
Lineage: Eukaryota; Fungi; Basidiomycota; Pucciniomycetes; Pucciniales; Pucciniaceae
Rfam family: tRNA
About the family: Transfer RNA (tRNA) molecules are approximately 80 nucleotides in length. Their secondary structure includes four short double-helical elements and three loops (D, anti-codon, and T loops).
Source: Rfam by way of RNAcentral